RNAcentral lists this non-coding RNA (27 nucleotides) under Rattus norvegicus (Norway rat). The record is from RNAcentral. Lineage: Eukaryota; Metazoa; Chordata; Mammalia; Rodentia; Muridae.
UGGACCAAUUAGAGCUUUUAAACUCAU